This 303-nucleotide ribosomal RNA is filed under the name uncultured bacterium. RNAcentral's name for it is "partial 16S ribosomal RNA". It matches the Rfam family "Bacterial small subunit ribosomal RNA", at positions 507 to 807 of the family's 1533-position model. The record is from RNAcentral.
AGCAGUAGCCACGGUAACACGGAGGGGGCUAGCGUUGUUCGGAAUUACUGGGCGUAAAGCGCACGUAGGCGGCUUGGUAAGUUAGAGGUGAAAGCCCGGAGCUCAACUCCGGAAUUGCCUUUAAGACUGCCGAGCUAGCAGGUGAGAGAGGUAAGUGGAAUUCCGAGUGUAGAGGUGAAAUUCGUAGAUAUUCGGAAGAACACCAGUGGCGAAGGCGGCUUACUGGCUCAUACUGGACGCUGAGGUGCGAAAGCGUGGGGAGCAAACAGGAUUAGAUACCCCUGUAGUCCCUGUCUCUUAUAC